AAUCAACGCUGGCGGCGUGCCUCAGACAUGGCAAGUCGAACGCGAAAGUCCCCUUCGGGGGAUGAUUAGAGUGGCGCACGGGUGAGUAACACGUAGGUAAUCUACCUUCGAGUGGGGAAUAACUCAGGGAAACUUGAGCUAAUACCGCAUAAUGCAGCGGCACCACAUGGUGACAGUUGUUAAAGCAUUUAUGCGCUUGAAGAGGAGCCUGCGGCAGAUUAGCUAGUUGGUAAGGUAAUGGCUUACCAAGCUACGAUCUGUAACCGGCCUGAGAGGGCGGACGGUCACACUGACACUGAAUAACGGGUCAGACUCCUACGGGAAGGCAGCAGUCGGG
This 337-nucleotide ribosomal RNA is filed under the name uncultured bacterium. RNAcentral's name for it is "bacterial SSU rRNA". It matches the Rfam family "Bacterial small subunit ribosomal RNA", at positions 32 to 359 of the family's 1533-position model. The record is from RNAcentral.